AACGAACGCUGGCGGCGUGCCUAACACAUGCAAGUCGAACGAGAAAGGGGCUUCGGCUCCGAGUAAAGUGGCGCACGGGUGAGUAACACGUGGGUAACCUGCCUCUAAGAUUGGGACAACUCGUCGAAAGAUGAGCUAAUACCGAAUAAGACCACAGUUCCUGCGGGAACAGGGGUCAAAGGUAGCCUCUGCUUGCAAGCUAUCACUUAGAGAUGGGCCUGCGCACCAUUAGCUAGUUGGUAGGGUAACGGCCUACCAAGGCAAAGAUGGUUAGCUGGUCUGAGAGGAUGAUCAGCCACACUGGAACUGAGACACGGUCCAGACUCCGUAC
RNAcentral lists this ribosomal RNA (331 nucleotides) under uncultured bacterium. RNAcentral describes it as "bacterial SSU rRNA". It matches the Rfam family "Bacterial small subunit ribosomal RNA", at positions 29 to 342 of the family's 1533-position model. The record is from RNAcentral.